GGUUUGAUGGCGUAGUUGGUCAUCGCAUCUAUCUAACAUUUGAAUAUAAGUUGCACAGAAGGUCCCCAGUUCGAGCCUGGGCCGAAUCA
Collybiopsis luxurians FD-317 M1 is the source of this 89-nucleotide non-coding RNA. Lineage: Eukaryota; Fungi; Basidiomycota; Agaricomycetes; Agaricales; Omphalotaceae. The record is from the annotation of a GenBank genome assembly.